Scylla paramamosain (green mud crab) is the source of this 7380-nucleotide long non-coding RNA. RefSeq lists it as uncharacterized. The transcript is spliced from 2 exons. The record is from RefSeq and is a predicted model, not a curated record. Lineage: Eukaryota; Metazoa; Arthropoda; Malacostraca; Decapoda; Portunidae.
AGAGAGAGAGAGAGAGAGAGAGUCUGGAUGUCUGCCUGCCUGUCUGUCUGUCUGGCAAGAGAACUCACAUAAUACCAAGAGAAAACACACACACACACACACACACACACACACACACACAUUUUGGCGCCAAACUUUCAAACCUGUCUUAUCCUACCCUCUCACUCUCUCUCUCUUGCCCCUCCUACCACUGCAUACCCUCUCACUUGCCCCUCUCUCCCUCCUCUGUGCCACUCUCCUUGACGUUCUCCCUCGCGUAGGUCACUCCUGCAUGACUGAUGUACGACCCGCGCUUCCCUGGUCGUUCCUAAAUAGCUUAAAACGACCGUGAAUUGAAGUGUAAAUUGUAUUACUUGAAGAGGCGGGGCUUGGCGUGAAGCGGAGAGGGAGGAGAAACUGAUGAUAGUCUCUUGAUACACCUCCCUUUAUCUCCCCACGUAUCUCCCUCCCCUGGGCCUCCACGCGCUUCACCCUCUGGUUAAAUCAAAGAGGAAUGGUUGUAGAUGUUAUACAGAGCUGUAGAAGGGUGUAACUUUAUCGUGGGUGUAGUUACAAGAGUGUUUUUUGAAGGUAGGACAGGCUGCGGGGUGUAAUGGGUUGAGAUGCAGUGUUUGUCUGGGUGUUAUAUCAUAUCCUGUGAUAUUUAUGUCCCCUGGGGGUGUACUCGCCUCCACCCUUGCCUUAGGUAGUAGGGGGAUGGUUACAUAAGUAGCUAGUGAGUGUAGAAUAGUGUAGCUGUAGUGUAAGUGUAGAAACUAACGUGUUUUUCGCAUAUGUUGGUUGGCCGAUGAACGAGAAUUACAACAGUACUCCCGCCUCGCUACUCAUCUCGCCUCUCUUCUUAUUUUCCUCCCUGGGGGGAUUACACGCGUCUCCCCUGGGGUGGCGGGCGGGGAGGUGAUAGUAGAGGCUUUAUUUAAGUAUUUAAGUGGCUGGGAUACCGUGUAGGUGCAAAUAUAAGUGCGUUUUUAGUGAUAACGGAGAGAGAGAGAGAGAGAGAGAGAGAGAGAGAGAGAGAGAGAGAGAGAGAGAAAUGCCAUUAGUUACCUUGCUCUACAUCUCCCCUGAUUUCUAUCUCCUCAGGGAGAAUACACGCUUGUCCCUGGGGUUGUGCACAGGGGGGUGACAGUACAAGUUACCUAUAAGCACCAGUAAUCUGCAGGUAUCUUGUCCAAGGAGAUACAGGCCCAUUCUCUGUGUAUACUGGCAACCUUGGACUAAGCUUUGAAAUGAGUCGGUUAGUAGAGGCGGGGCAACACUGGCGGCUGUAGCAGAAGGCGUGUGCGUGUGGGAGGUGCUAGGGAACCGUUGACAGCAGGAGGAGGAGCGGGGAAGCCGGGAGAGGGAGAGGAGAGAGGAGAGGAGAGAGCGGUGAGCGGGAAGUGGCUGGCUGGCUGGCUGGCGGCUGACAGGAGGCGGCCCAUAUUCUGAAACAACUUUUGCGCCGCUCCUGCACCACUUUCAAAAGCCUCUAGUUGAAGUGACACGCGUUUCUAAGCUUGUUCAUACAGUUGUAGUGACAGACUGACACCAUUUCUACAUUAUGAACGGGAGAAACAGCAUUGGGAGCCCGGCAAAUGGUUCCUGUGGCCUUGGAAAACAGUCGCGGUGAGAGCCGAGCGUUUGCUAACACGGGCGCCGCUCACUCAAACAUCGCGCCAUUAUUCGAAGUUAAAUGCCCAGCGAGGGUAUAUAUCUGAGAGGCGCAGGUGGCCAGGCAGUUCUCCCGUCACGCCCGCCCUGCCGCCACCGCCUGGAGCCGCUGCACACAGGCCCUGGCAGUGAAGUGGGCGAGAAACACCACCUGCUACCUUUUCACCGCCUUCUGCUGCGUAAGGGAGGAAGAAACAGUGAGUUUUAGCAGUUACAGCAGGAAAAGCCCUUCUGCGCCUUCUACUUCAGUGGCUGAGGUUGUGACAGUGACCAGAGCAGUUAUAUACACCCCUAACUGCCUCCUUCACCGCCUCCAUCAGUAGUUGAGGCUGUAGCAGUGAAGAGGGGUGAAGAUACGGCCUUUAUCCCUCCUUCACCGCCUUCUGCAGGAUUUGGGAGGAAGAAAAGUGUUCGGUGCAAGAAACGGUCAUAACAGGAAUUCCCCCUUCUACGCCUCCUCCGUCAGUAGUUGAGGCUGUAGCAGUGACAAGGGCGAGGAUAUCCUGUGCCACUCCAUCGCCUUCUACAGGAGUUAGGAAGGUGAAACAGUGACCAGUGGAAGUUGCAUUGCAAGAAACGGUCUUAACUGUAGGAAUUCUCCCUUCAGCGCCUCCGUCAGAUGUGCAAGGUGUUGUAGCAGUGAUACGCCCGUAAAUGCCACUCCUUCACCGCCUUCUACUGAAUUAGGAAGGGAAAGGUGACCAGUGGAAGUUACAGAAGGGAAAUCUUGUCUUCUGCGCCUCCGUCAGUAGAGACAGUGACAGUAGCAGUUGUAUACACCAGUAACUCUCCUCCAUCACCUACUGCGUGCCAGACUGCUAUAACUGCCGGCGUUUUCCCCUUCUGGGCCUCCGUCAGUUGUGGGGUAAGCUGUGACAGUGACGAUUAAACAAAGAAAGAAAAAAAUAAGAGGACAUUAGGAGAAAAAAAAAUAGAAGAAAAUACACAAACAAGAUAAACAAGGAAACGAAAAUAAAGAAAACAGGAAUACAAACAAAAUAUUCAGGAAAAAAAACAAAAAAACAAAGAGGAAAUAAUCACAAAAAAUAAACCAAACACGAACAAAGAAAAAAAAACACGAAAACAAGAAAAAAAAUAUAACAAGAAUAAAGAAAAUCUAAUAAUAAUAAAAAACAAAAAACACGGAAACUACAACCACCAUCACCACCACAACCACCACCACCACCACCAUGAUCUCUUUCUCCCCACUCUCCCCGGUCUCCCCCGCCAAACCAAGAGGCGUGAGGGUAUUAGUACGACCCAAGCCUACUGCCAGACGCGCCCUGACCCAGCUAGGCCUAAGCAACCCCAAGGAAAACCUAAAAAUGGCAGAAGAUUUAAUUUCAACAACGUCUCUAGCAUUUGCAGCAAGAUGGCACCUGGACCAGCAAUUUGACCCUUUAGGCGAAGAUUACUGGGUCAGGGGGGCGUGGGGGUCAGACAGCUCCCCACUGACCUACCCUGACCUCUGUGACCUGUGCCAAGCCGCGGGUCAGCCCACAGUAGUCGUAAGGCAGGUCAAAGAGAAAGGUCAUGUCAAGGAAGGAGGAGGUCAUUUGUCCCCAGUGCAGAAAGUCAAGCAGAGCAAAAUAACUGAGUUCGGCCGUCAGAGGAAGAGACUGCACUCCUCCUCCUCCUCCUCCCCCGCCAAGUGCAAAGAAGAGGAUGAGUUUGUGGUUAUGACUAAAGGAGGAAGGAAGAAAUUACACUUGUCUUCCUCCUCUUCCUCCUCUUCUCCUUCAAAAGCUGCUAAACUCAUCUCCUUCUCUUCCUCCUCCUCCUCUUCCUCCUCCUCUAUCAUCUCUUUCUCCCCUUCUAAAUCCUCCUCUUCCUCCUCCUCUUCCUUGAAAUAAAUCUGUCCUGUCUUCUCUUCCUCUCUUCUCUUCCUCCUCCUCUCUCUCUGUUUAUGUUCAGAGAGAGAGAGAGAGAGAGAGAGAGAGAGAGAGAGAGAGAGAGAGAGAGAGAUUUUAAUAUUUUUUCAUUUAUUUUUUGUUUUUUUAUAAAUAUAGAGAAAAAAGCAAGAUUAUUAUUAUUAUGAUUAUUAUUAUUAUUAUUAUUAUUAUUAUUAUUAUUAUUAUUAUUAUUAUUAUUAUUGUUAUUAUUAUGUGAAAGUUAAAAAUUGAAAAAAAGUAAAGAAAAAACUAGUCUAUUGAAAUGAUUAUGUGUUUGUUUGUUGGAAUGAUGAUGAUGAUGAUGACGACGAUGAUGAUAGUAAAUUGUAAUGAUGAUGAUGAAUGGUGAUUGUAAUGAUGAAAUGAAAGGAAUUAUGUUAUUGAAGAAAAUUAAUGAUGGUUGUAAUGCAAGAUAAUGCCCUACGCAGUUGUAAUGAUAAAUGAUGAUGAUGAUGAUGAUGAUGAUGAUGAUGGUAGCAAUGAGAAACAAUGAUGAUGAUAGAAAGUUGUAAUGAUGAUGGUGAUGAUAAUGAACUAGAAUGAAAAAAAUAAUGAUGAAUAAAGGAAAGAAAAAUAAUAAAAAAAUAAUGAUGAGAGAACGAAAGUAAUGAACAAAGAAAGUAAAAAAAAAAAUAUAAGGAAAAAAAUCAAUGAGGAAAGCAAGUUUUCUUUUUGUGAAAAUUUGGAGAGAGAAGAAAAACGAACAAGGAAAAGAAGUAAAACAUGAAAAAAAGAAUACAUUUUGUGAAAGAAGAGAAAGAAGAAAGAAGCAAAUUUUUGGUGAAGGAAAGAAAAUGAACUGAAAAAAACAAAAUAUGAAAAAAAUGAAUGAUGAAAACUAAAACAGAGAGAGAGAGAGAGAGAGAGAGAGAGAGAGAGAGAGAGAGAGAGAGAGAGAGAGAGAGAGAGAGAAAAAGAAACGAAGAUCUCUGAAAUUUGACAUCUCUUUAGCCUAGUCAGUAUUUAUUGUAGUGUGUAUUCUACUUAGUGCAUUUACCUUAUUGUUAAAUCUAUCAGAAACUUGUAUUGGCGGUGCAGUGUUGUAUUGUUUUGUAUUGCCCCACGUCAUCACACACACACACACACACACACACACACACACACACACACACACACAUGAAAAAAUUGUGUUGUACUUAUUUUGUGUUUUUAUUUUAUUUUUGCAUUUUUUAUUUUGUUUUGCUUUGUUUUUUUUUUUCCUAUUGUAUUUAAUUUUUUUUUUUGUCAGUUUGUGUAUUUUAUUUUGUAUCUUUUUAUCAAUAUUUUUUUUUUAUAAUUAAUUUGUUUUAUUUUUCGUUGUUUUCAUUAUAUCUAUAUCCAUUUUAUUGUAUUCUUUCCUCAAAAAUACUUAAAAAUGUCAUUAUUAUUAUUAUUAUUAUUAUUAUUAUUAUUAUUAUUAUUAUUAUUAUUAUUAUUAUUAUUAUUAUUAUUAUUAUUAUCCACACAUUCUACUACUUAAUAUAACCCAACGAAAGUCACAAAAUAAUAAUAAUAAUAGUUUCACCAUGUUAUAAUUUCCGUGCAUUUGUUUGUUUAGUUACUGUUAACUUAGUGAAGUCAUCCCCUGCAACACUUCACCGCCGCCCGUUUUCUGUGUGUCUUCUCGAGGGUUGGCUACUGUGCUGUCUGUUUCCUUGUCAUUGUAAACACUUUAUAUUUUGUAAGUCAUUAUUUUUAUUUUUCUUUGUUACAUUUGUCAUUUUUCUUUUUCUGUCAUUAUUUUGUAUUUCAUUUAUUCCAGUUUUUAUCGUAUUUUAUUUUAUAUCUACUUAAAAAAAAAUUCCUUUCCUCCUUUUUUAGUAGCUGUUCUUUUUUUCGUCUUUUCCUUUACUUCCUUUUCUUUCUAUUUUAUUCAUGUUUAUCUGAUAAUGUGAUUAUUUCUGAUUAUUCGUUACAUUUCACAUAUUAAUUUCAUCUUCAUCUUAUUUUACUUAUUAAUUUUUCACUUAUUUUUUCUUGAUCUCAUUUUACUCAUUAUUUUUCUUGUGAUUGUCAUUAUAAGCAACGUGUGUCUGUCUGUCUGUCUGUCACGGUACUAGUCUUGUAUUCUGUAUUAAUCUGUAAUUAUCUCUUCUGUUUUUUUCUCUAUCUACACUACAUUUAAUAUUUUUUUCUUUUAUCUCUACGUAGCCACUCAUUUUUUGAUCUCAUAGGCUUAAUUAUGAUUUAGGCUGUCUGUACGCCUAUCUGCCUUCCCUUACAAUUAUUAUUAUUAUUAUUAUUAUUAUUAUUAUUAUUAUUAUUAUUAUUAUUAUUAAGGUCACUUCUUCAGUCCUCAGUAAAUAAUUGGGGAUAAUUGCAAUACCUGGCAUCUAGUCCAGUUUACUCAAAAAAAAAAAAAAUUACAGUUAUUAUUAGUUAUUAUUAUUAUUGUUAUUAUUACUAUUAUUAUUACUACUAUCACUGCUGCCUCUGCUCGUCUUAUUAUCAUCAUUAAUGUCUCUUUUGUCCUUUUGCAAUGUUUUUUUCUUUGUUCUUUCCUAUUCAUCGUUUUUCUCGUUUUCUAUUUUCUUAAUUUUCUUUUUCGUUUUCUUUCUCAAGUUGAUCAGUUUGCAGUAUGGUUUUUCUUUGUUUCUCUCUCUCUCUCUCUCUCUCUCUCUCUCUCUCUCUCUCUCUCUCUCUCUCUCUCUCUCUCUCUCUCUCUCUCUCUCUCUCUCGUAUUUUUUUUUUCUUUCACGGUUCUUUUUUUUUUAUCUCUUCCAGUUCUUAUUGUUUUGUAAUUUUUUCUUUUCUUUCAUUUUCUUUGUUUCUUAUUUGUUUUUCUUUAUUUUGUGUGUGCUUUUCAUAUUUCCUUUGUUUAGUUUUCUUUAUUUCUUCCUCUUGUCUCGUCUCAUUUUUUCUUUUUUUUUUUUUGCAUUUUCCUUAUUUUUUUUAUUUUGUGUUUUCCUUUAUUGGUGAUUUAGUAGUGUGUUUUUCUUGUUUUUUCUCAUUUUUCUUGUUUAUUUAUCUAUUUCACUCCGUCUAAAUUUACAUUAGUCUCCCCUUUCAGUACUCCACACACUCAGUUUUCUGUAAUUCGAAAAUAAAACAAAUAAGUAAUAUUUUCUUUAGUUAAUUAAUUUUUUUUUUUACUCAAUUUUUUUUAGCCAUCCUUGAAAUGCUCCAGUUUUCUCUCAUUGCAUUGUUACCGUUCCCCGUUUUCUUUACAUGAUGGGAUAUUUAUUUAUUUAUUAUUAUUAUUAUUAUUAUUAUUAUUAUUAUUAUUAUUAUUAUUAUUAUUAUUAUUAUUAUUAUUAUUAUUAUUAUUAUUAUUAUUAUUAUUAUUAUCAUUAUCAUUAUUAUUAUUAUUAUUGCUGAUUUAAUUGGUAAUGUGAUAUACUACUACUACUACUACAACUAUUACAACCUACUAUUACCACCACCGCCACCACCACUGCUACUACUACUACUACUACUACUACUACUACAAUGAAACACCCAGUGCCUUAUAAAGUGAAAUACUUAUACUUGACAAACUGAAGGAAAAAGGAAAACAAAACUACUACUACUACUACUACUACUACUACUACUACUACUACUACUACUAUUACUGUGUCCUAUAUAGUGACCAUAAAACCAGUGCUGUUUGUCGUAAAAGCAAUAAUAGAGUUAGAGAGAGAGAGAGAGAGAGAGAGAGAGAGAGAGAGAGAGAGAGAGAGAGAGAGAGAUUGAUUUAACUGUGUCUGUGUGUCUGUCUGUCUGUCUCCCAUUUCUACUACUACUACCACUACUACUACUACUACUACUACUACUACUACAACAACAAGUGUAAUAUAUAUAUUUUAUUAAUAUAUUAUCGUCUAUGUUAAAACUGUGACACUUUAUUGCACUUAAGUAAAUAAAAAGUGUUCAUUGA